UCAAGCAAGAAAGAGCACAAGGAGAAUGCCUUGGCACUAGGAGCCGAUGAAAGACGUGGUAAGCUGCGAAAAGCUUCGGGGAGGCGCAAACAGCCAUCGAUCCGGAGAUAUCUGAAUGGGGAAACCUACUUGAGCAAACCUCAAGUAUCCAUGCGUGAAUCCAUAGCGUAUGGAAGGGAACGCUGUGAACUGAAACAUCUAAGUAGCAGUAGGAGGAGAAAGAAAACUCGAUUUCCUAAGUAGCGGCGAGCGAACGGGAAAGAGGCCAAACCGAAGGACCUGGUUCUUCGGGGUUGUGGACUGCAUUUAGCAUUGCUGAGAGAUAGACGAAUGGUUUUGGGAAAGCCAGCCGUAGACGGUGAAAGCCCGGUAGACGAAAUCUUGAAGCAGCGAGCAGGAUCCAGAGUACCACGAGACACGAGAAACCUUGUGGGAAGCCGGGGGGACCACCCCCCAAGCCUAAAUACUCCCUAGUGACCGAUAGUGAAGCAGUACUGUGAAGGAAAGGUGAAAAGGACCCCGGGAGGGGAGUGAAAGAGAACCUGAAACCUUGUGCUUACAAACAGUCAAAGGCCUACGGGCUGAUGGCGUACUUUUUGUAGAACGGUCCGGCGAGUUACUAAUGCCAGCGAGGUUAAGUGGUCAGAAGCCACGGAGCCGAAGGGAAACCAAGUCUGAAUAGGGCGUAGAGUUGGUAUUAGUAGACCCGAAACCGGGUGACCUAUCCAUGUCCAGGUUGAAGGAACCGUAAAAGGUUUUGGAGGACCGAACACACAUGUGUUGAAAAACGUGGUGAUGAGGUGUGGAUAGCGGAGAAAUUCCAAUCGAACUCGGAGAUAGCUGGUUCUCCUCGAAAUAGCUUUAGGGCUAGCCUCGAGCUGGAGUCUAACGGAGGUAAAGCACUGAACUGACGCGGGGCCCAAAAAGGUUACCAACUCAUAUCAAACUAAGAAUGCCGUCAAGAUACCCUCGGGAGUCAGUCUGCGUGAGAUAAGUCGCGUGGACAAAAGGGAAAGAGCCCAGACCGACAGCUAAGGUCCCAAAGUACGUGUUAAGUGGAAAAGGAUGUGGGAUUUCAUAGACAACUAGGAUGUUGGCUUAGAAGCAGCCAUACAUUUAAAGAGUGCGUAAUAGCUCACUAGUCGAGAAAACCUGCGCCGAAAAUGUAACGGGGCUAAAACACGACACCGAAGCUACGGAUUUCCUACUAGGUAGGAAGUGGUAGAGGAGCAUCCUGCAAGGACGAAGCCAAAGUGAGAGCGAUGGUGGACGAAACAGGAGAGAGAAUGCCGGAAUGAGUAGCGAGAUACAUGUGAGAAACAUGUAGGCCGAAUAUCUAAGGAUUCCUGGGUAAAGCUAAUCUUCCCAGGGUUAGUCGGGGCCUAAGGCGAGGACGAGAGUCGUAGUCGAUGGAUAACAGGUUGAUAUUCCUGUACUACACAUAAUCAGAACUGUGGGGACGCAGGAGGAUAGGGAAACCGGGGAAUGGAAAGACCCGGUCAAGCGCAAAGCUGUGGGAGAUAGGCAAAUCCGUCUCCUGUAAGUGAAGCGUGAUGAGGACUGAAAAAAAGUAAGGAAGUUUCCGAAUCCACACUGCCGAGAAAAGCCGCUAUUGCGUUAUGUGUACCCGUACCGUAAACCGACACAGGUAGAUGAGGAGAAAAUCCACAGGCCGACGGGAGAAGUGUUGUUAAGGAACUCGGCAAAAUGACCCCGUAACUUCGGGAUAAGGGGAGCCUACGCGAGUAGGCCGCAGAGAAUAGUCUCAAGCGACUGUUUAGCAAAAACACAGGUCUAUGCUAAAUCGAAAGAUGAUGUAUAUGGGCUGACGCCUGCCCGGUGCUGGAAGGUUAAGGGGAAGUGUUAGAGCAAUCGAAGCACUGAACUUAAGCCCCAGUAAACGGCGGCCGUAACUAUAACGGUCCUAAGGUAGCGAAAUUCCUUGUCAGGUAAGUUCU
This 1958-nucleotide ribosomal RNA is filed under the name human gut metagenome. RNAcentral's name for it is "bacterial LSU rRNA". It matches the Rfam family "Bacterial large subunit ribosomal RNA", at positions 3 to 1984 of the family's 2925-position model. The record is from RNAcentral.